CCUCCGCUAGCUCAGUGGUAGAGCACUUGACUUUUAAUCACGGGGUCGAGGGUUCGAGUCCCUCGCGGGGGACCA
RNAcentral lists this transfer RNA (75 nucleotides) under Bacillota bacterium. RNAcentral's name for it is "tRNA-Lys". It matches the Rfam family "tRNA". Rfam says of the family: Transfer RNA (tRNA) molecules are approximately 80 nucleotides in length. Their secondary structure includes four short double-helical elements and three loops (D, anti-codon, and T loops). Lineage: Bacteria; Bacillati; Bacillota. The record is from RNAcentral.